This 478-nucleotide ribosomal RNA is filed under the name uncultured bacterium. Its description in RNAcentral is "partial 16S ribosomal RNA". It matches the Rfam family "Bacterial small subunit ribosomal RNA", at positions 28 to 507 of the family's 1533-position model. The record is from RNAcentral.
GAUGAACGCUGGCGGCGUGCCUAACACAUGCAAGUCGAACGGAGUCCAGCCUUAGAGAUCCUCGGGUCAAAGAGGGGAAGACUGAGUGUCGGACGGGUGAGUAACACGUGGGCAACCUGGCCCAUAGAGGGGGAUAACAGAGAGAAAUUUCUGCUAAUACCGCAUACGCACACACUGCCGCAUGGCAGCGUGUGAAAAGUGUAUCGGUAUGAGAUGGAGCCGCGACUGAUUAGACAGGUGGCAGGGUAAGAGCCUACCAAAGCGACGAUCAGUAGCCGAUUCGAGAGGAUGAACGGACACACUGGGACUGGGAGCCGUACGGAACUCCUACGGAAGGAAGAAGUGGGGGAUAUUGCACGAUGGGGGGAACCAUGAUGUAGCGACGCCGCGUGAGUGAAGAAGUAGUUAGGUAUGUAAAGCUCUAUCAGCAGGGAAGAUAAUGACAGUACCUGAAUAAGAAGCCCCGGCUAACUACGUG